AGAACGAACGCUGGCGGCAUGCCUAACACAUGCAAGUCGAACGAGACCUUCGGGUCUAGUGGCGCACGGGUGCGUAACGCGUGGGAAUCUGCCCUUGGGUUCGGAAUAACUUCGGGAAACUGAAGCUAAUACCGGAUGAUGACGUAAGUCCAAAGAUUUAUCGCCCAAGGAUGAGCCCGCGUAGGAUUAGCUAGUUGGUGAGGUAAAGGCUCACCAAGGCGACGAUCCUUAGCUGGUCUGAGAGGAUGAUCAGCCACACUGGGACUGAGACACGGCCCAGACUCCUACGGGAGGCAGCAGUGGGGAAUAUUGGACAAUGGGCGAAAGCCUGAUCCAGCAAUGCCGCGUGAGUGAUGAAGGCCUUAGGGUUGUAAAGCUCUUUUACCCGAGAUGAUAAUGACAGUAACGGGGGAAUAAGCUCCGGCUAACUCCGUG
RNAcentral lists this ribosomal RNA (435 nucleotides) under uncultured bacterium. Its description in RNAcentral is "bacterial SSU rRNA". It matches the Rfam family "Bacterial small subunit ribosomal RNA", at positions 26 to 507 of the family's 1533-position model. The record is from RNAcentral.